RNAcentral lists this ribosomal RNA (584 nucleotides) under Pseudomonas sp. StFRB160. RNAcentral's name for it is "bacterial SSU rRNA". It matches the Rfam family "Bacterial small subunit ribosomal RNA", at positions 102 to 682 of the family's 1533-position model. The record is from RNAcentral. Lineage: Bacteria; Pseudomonadati; Pseudomonadota; Gammaproteobacteria; Pseudomonadales; Pseudomonadaceae.
ACGGGUGAGUAAUGCCUAGGAAUCUGCCUGGUAGUGGGGGGCAACGUUUCGAAAGGAACGCUAAUACCGCAUACGUCCUACGGGAGAAAGCAGGGGACCUUCGGGCCUUGCGCUAUCAGAUGAGCCUAGGUCGGAUUAGCUAGUUGGUGAGGUAAUGGCUCACCAAGGCGACGAUCCGUAACUGGUCUGAGAGGAUGAUCAGUCACACUGGAACUGAGACACGGUCCAGACUCCUACGGGAGGCAGCAGUGGGGAAUAUUGGACAAUGGGCGAAAGCCUGAUCCAGCCAUGCCGCGUGUGUGAAGAAGGUCUUCGGAUUGUAAAGCACUUUAAGUUGGGAGGAAGGGCAUUAACCUAAUACGUUAGUGUUUUGACGUUACCGACAGAAUAAGCACCGGCUAACUCUGUGCCAGCAGCCGCGGUAAUACAGAGGGUGCAAGCGUUAAUCGGAAUUACUGGGCGUAAAGCGCGCGUAGGUGGUUUGUUAAGUUGGAUGUGAAAGCCCCGGGCUCAACCUGGGAACUGCAUUCAAAACUGACAAGCUAGAGUAUGGUAGAGGGUGGUGGAAUUUCCUGUGUAGCGGU